CCUACGGGUGGCUGCAGUGGGGAAUAUUGGACAAUGGGGGCAACCCUGAUCCAGCCAUGCCGCGUGUGUGAAGAAGGCCCUCGGGUUGUAAAGCACUUUCAGUGAGGAAGAACGCCUGGUGGUUAAUACCCAUCAGGAAAGACAUCACUCACAGAAGAAGCACCGGCUAACUCCGUGCCAGCAGCCGCGGUAAUACGGAGGGUGCGAGCGUUAAUCGGAAUUACUGGGCGUAAAGCGCGCGUAGGUGGCUUGAUAAGCCGGUUGUGAAAGCCCCGGGCUCAACCUGGGAACGGCAUCCGGAACUGUCAAGCUAGAGUGCAGGAGAGGAAGGUGGAAUUCCCGGUGUAGCGGUGAAAUGCGUAGAGAUCGGGAGGAAUACCAGUGGCGAAGGCGGCCUUCUGGACUGAAACUGACACUGAGGUGCGAAAGCGUGGGUAGCAAACAGGAUUAGAUACCCUAGUAGUC
Molecule: ribosomal RNA, 465 nt
Filed under: Vreelandella stevensii
Lineage: Bacteria; Pseudomonadati; Pseudomonadota; Gammaproteobacteria; Oceanospirillales; Halomonadaceae
Description: partial 16S ribosomal RNA
Rfam family: Bacterial small subunit ribosomal RNA
Source: RNAcentral